AGUGCUUUGGCUCAGCGAUAGAGCACCUCGUUCACAUCAAGGAGGCACUGGUUCAAAUCCAGUAAGUACCUCC
This 73-nucleotide transfer RNA is filed under the name bioreactor metagenome. Its description in RNAcentral is "tRNA-Val". It matches the Rfam family "tRNA". From Rfam's summary of the family: Transfer RNA (tRNA) molecules are approximately 80 nucleotides in length. Their secondary structure includes four short double-helical elements and three loops (D, anti-codon, and T loops). Further hydrogen bonds mediate the characteristic L-shaped molecular structure. tRNAs have two regions of fundamental functional importance: the anti-codon, which is responsible for specific mRNA codon recognition, and the 3' end, to which the tRNAs corresponding amino acid is attached (by aminoacyl-tRNA synthetases). tRNAs cope with the degeneracy of the genetic code in two manners: having more than one tRNA (with a specific anti-codon) for a particular amino acid; and 'wobble' base-pairing, i.e. permitting non-standard base-pairing at the 3rd anti-codon position. The record is from RNAcentral.